UUUUUUUGCUUGGGGAAAUCAGAUGUUAGGUGAAAAAUUUCUAACUGAGUGAAACGAGAUGUUAGUUGAGAGAUGGUAUGGCGAUCGUGUUGUUUCACCGAGUUGAGUAUCGAGCGCACACCCUGUAGGCGCUGCAUUUGUUUUCAGAGUUCUCACUUAGUGAAACCUGAUGGUGGAAAGUUUGUCACCACAGGGCUGUUUCACAGAAGUGCAUAUAUGGCGCUUUCGACACAAGCCCCGCAGCGUUUGUCCGUUUUAAGUGAAAGGAGAUGUUAGUUGCAAGAUGGAUUCCCCACACUGUUGCUUCACAGAGUUGAGUAAAUGGCACUUACUAACAUGUCGGCUCCGCAUAGGCUUUCCAAGAGUUUUCAGUGAGUGAAAUCAGAUGUCGGUUGAGUGCCUCACCGCAGUGCCGGUGGACAGAGUGGUGUAUACGGCACUUAAGGUGUUGGACCCCUGUGGGGUUUCAAACACACCAAACAUAGUGAAACCUGCUGUGUGCUGGUGAAGUUUCAGCACGCUGUUGUUGCACAGAGUUGAGUACAUGGCACUUUCGUCAUUGGCCCCGCAUAGGUUUUCAAACACUUGUAAGUUGGGAAACAAGUUGUCAGUUGAAGGAUGGUUUCCCCACAGUAUCCUUUGCCAGAGUUGAGCAAACGGCACUAUCCUCCUAGGCCCCGCAUACACUGGACCCAAACCUUUCUAACUUAGUGAAACCAGAUUUGGGGUGAUGGUUUCCCCACAGUGUCGUUUCACAGAGUUGAGGGUAUGGCACUUUCCGUGUAGGUCUUGCGAAGGAUUUCAAAGCACUUUGCCUUUGUGACACCAGAUGUUAGGUGAAAGGCGCUUUCUCCACAUUGUUUCUCUCAGAUUUAAGUAUACAGCCCUUACCGUGUAGGUCCCGCAUAGGUUUGGAAAGAGUGCCCACUCAGUGAAACCCGGUGUUAGUUGAACGUUGGUUCGCCCCCGGUAUUCUCUCACGCCCUCGAGUAUCUGUCACUUUCCUCAUCGUUCCCCGCAUAGGUUUUGAAACAAACACUUCUCACUUAGUGAGACGAGACUUUAGUUGAGAGAACGUCUCUCCACAAUAUUUUCACACAGGAUGGAGUGUAUGUCACAGUCACCAUUUCCCCCCGCAAAUGUUAUCACAAACUUCGAACUUCGUGUUUGAAAAACCCAUGCGGGGGCCUAUGCGGAUAGGGCCAUAUGCUGAACGCUGUGAAACAACACUGUGGGGAAGGCAUCUUCAGAUAUCAUCUGGUUUCGCUGUUAGAAGGGUCUAUAAACCCAUGGGGGUCCGCCACGAAAGCGCCGUAAGCUCAAGACUGUGAAACAACAGUGUCCCGACACCGUCUUUCAACUACCAUCUGGCUUCGGUACGCUAAAAGUGUUUGAACGAUAUGCGGGGCCUAUUGGGAUACUACCAUACAGUCAACUCCGUGAGGCAACAGUGUGGUGACACAACCUUUCAACUUACGUCUGGGUUCAGUAAGUGAUUAAAACCUAUAGGGUGCCUACAAGGGAGGCGCCAUCUGCUCUCCUCUGUGAGGCAACACUGUGGGGAACUAACAGUUCGACUAAACGUUCAACUAACGUUCAACGAACGCCUCGUUUCCUUAAGUUAGAAAUGUUUGGAAAACUUGCGGGGCCUUUGCCGAAAGUGCCUUAUAGUCCCUCAAACGGCACCAUGCGGAAACCAUCAUCUUUCAACUGACGUGUCGUAUCGCCAAGUUAGACAUGGUUGAAUACCCAUGUGGGGAACGAUGUGGAAAGUGACAUAUACUCGACACGGUGGGAGAAUAGUGUGGACGAACCAUCUUUCAACUAACAUCUUGUUUCCCUGAGUUGGACGUGUUUGCAAACCUAAGGGGGCCUAGGAGGGAAGUGCCAUAUACUGCGAUCUGUGGGGGAAACCAUCUUUCAACUGACACCUUGGCUCGCUAUGUUAGAAGUGUUUGAAAAACCCGUGCGACACCUACAAGGAAAGUGCCCUAGAAGCAACACUGUGAAACAACACUGUGUAGGAAUCUUUGAACUCAUAUCAUGUUUCACUGUUACAAGUGGAGAAAUCCUGGGUCUGUUAGUAUAAAGAACGCGCCGUUGACUUAACUUUGUGAAACAUCAUUGUAGGGAAACUAACUUUCAAAAACCACUGGUUCAACUAAGUUGGAAGUGUUGGAAAACCCAUGAGGGGCCUACACGGAAAGUGCCAGAUACUCAACUCUGUCACACAUCACUGUGCUGAAACCGUUGUGAAACAAACGUCUCGUUUCACAAGUGUAGAAGUGUUCGAAAACCUCUGUGGGGCUCAUGAGUAAAGUGCCAUUAUCCUCCGUCAAACAGCACGUAGGGGGAAAGGUCUGCCCACGAACAUCACGUUUCACUAAGUGACACGUCUUUGAAAACCUAUGUGGAGCUUACGCGGAAGGCGCCGUAUGCUCAAAUCUGUCCAGGAGCACUACGGGGAAGCCAUCCGGCUCCUUCCAUCUCCCUCCGCUAAGAAUUAGUGGAAAUAAUGUGUUGCCUAGGAGGAUAGUGCCGUACACUCCACUCUGUGAAACAACACUGUGGGGAAAGCUUCUUUCAAAGAAACUACCACCCGCUGUCCCCAAGUUAGACGUGCUCGAAAACUCUCCCGCAACCUGUGCGGAAAGUGCCGUAUACUCGGCACCGUGAAACACUGUGGGGAAACUAUUUCUCAAGUAACAUUUCGUUUCACUAAGUUAGAAGCGCUUGAAGACCUAUGCGGCACCUGUGGGGAAAGUGCCAUACACUCAACCCGGUCAAGCAGCACUUUGGGGAACCAACCUAUCUUUCACCUAACAUCUCGUUUCACCUGAGUGAGAACUGUCUGAAAAACCUAUGCGGGCCCUACAGGGUAAGUGUCUUAUACUCAAUUCUGUGAAACAACACUGUGUGGAAACCAUCUUUCAACUAACACGUCAUUUCACUAGGGUAGAAGUGUUUGAAAACCUAGGCGGGACCUAGGCGGAAAGCACCAUAUACUGUAAUCUGGGAACUACACUAUAGGGAAACCCGUCUUUCAGCUAACAUCUUGUUUCGCUAAGGGAGAAGGGUUGGAAAACUUGUGCGCGGCCUAUGCCGAAAGGGACAUAUAGUCAACUUUGUGAAACAAACAAACAAACAAACAAAACACAACAACACCGUGGAGACGCAGCGUCUUUCAACUCACAUCUGGUUUCACAAAGUAAGUUAAGAUAGUUUGAAAACUUAUGAAUCACUCACAGGGAAAGGGCCACACACUCAACUCUGUGAAACAACACUGUGGGGAAAACAUCUUUCACCUAAUAUCUGGUCUCACUAAGUGAAAAGUGUUUUUGACUACACAUGCGGGGCCUAGCGGACAGUGCCAUAGACUCGACUCUGUGAAACAACACUGGGGUGAAAGAAUCUUGCAACAAACAUCUGGUUUCUCUAGGUUCGGUGUGUUUGAAACCCCUUACGGGGCCAUCACGUAAAGUGCCAUACACUCCGCUCUGAAAUAACAGCGUGGUAAAACAUCCUUUCAACUAACAUCUGAGUUCACUGAGAACUGCUUGGAAACCGAUGCGUGUGGGGAGGGGGCUACACGGCAAGUGCCAUAUACGCAACUCUAAGAAGCAACAUUGGGGGGUGGUGGGGGUGGGGGGAACCAUCUUGCAAGUAAACGUCUCGUUUUCACUAGGUCACUAGGGUCUGAAAGACUAGGCGGGGCCGAUGCCGAUAGCGCCACACACCCAGUUCUAUCACGCUGCGCUGUGCGGAAACCAUCUUUCAACUCAAUGUUGCAUCACGGAGUUCGAAAUGUUGGACAACCCAUGCACGGAACGAUGUGGAAAGGGACACAUACACGACACUGUGAGAGACUCCUGUGGACAAACCAUCUUUCCGCUAACAUCUCGUUUCACCAAGUUAGAAGUGUUUGAAAGCCUAUGCAGGGCCUAUUCCGAAAGUGUCAUGCUCUUUGAAACCACUCUUGGACACAACACCGCGGCGACACAAUCUUUCAACUAACAUCUGGUUUCGCUAAUUAGGUGAGUACCGCUUGAAACCUAUGCGGGGACUACAGGGUAAGUGCCGUAUACUCAACGCGGAGAAACAACACUGAGGGGAAACCAUCUUUCAACUAACAUCCCCUUUCACUGUGACAAGGGUUUGAGACAAUAAGCGCGGCCUACGCCCAACGUGCCACACACUCAACUCUCAAACUGCACUUUGCGGAGACCAGCUUUCAACUAACAUCUUGUAUCGCUGAGUGAGAAUUGUUAAAAACCUAUGCAGGGAACGAUGAGGAAAAGGGCAUACGGCCGAGACUGGCAGACAUUACCGUGGACAAAACCGUCUUUCAAAGAGCCUCUUGUUUCACUAAGAUAGAAGCGUCUGAAAGCCCACGCAAGGGAAGUAUGAGGACUGUGCCGUAAAACAACAGUGUUGCCGAACCAUCGUUCCGCUUACAGCGUGUUUCACGAAGUGAGAAGUGUUGGAAAUCUAUCGGGAGUCUAAGCGGAAAGUGCAAGUGCCGUCUACGCGACCGUGCGAAAACACUGUGGGGAAGCCAUCCUUCAACGACUAUCUUGUUUCAUUACCUUGGCAGUUGUUGGACAACCCUGCACAGCCUAUGAGGAAAGUUACAUGUACUCAACGGUGUCAAGUAGCGCUUUGGGGAACCUAUCUUUCAACGACCAUCUCGUUUCCCUAAGGUAGAAGUGUUUGAAAUCCCUGGCGGGGACUAUGCGGAUAGCGCCAUAUCCUCUACUCUGUGAAACACUGUGGGGAUACCGUCUUGCAAGGAAGAUCUCUUGUCACAAAGUUAGGCGUGGUGGUAACCAUAUACGGGGCCUGGGCAGAGUGUCAUAUACUGAACUCCGUGAAACAACAUUGUAGGGAAACCAUCUUUCAACUGACAUGUCCUUUCACUAAGUUAGAGUUGUUUGAAGAGCAAUGCGGGGGCUAGGCAGAGAGCGUCGUAUGCUGGAUUCUGUGAAACAACACUGUGGGGAAACGCUCUUUCCACUAACUAUCUCGUUUCACUAAGUUAGAAUUGUUUCAGAAACAAUGCCGGACGUGCCAUAGCCUCAACUGUGCCAACCAGCACUUCGCCAAGCACUCGUGUUUUGAAACUCUCAUCUUGGUUUCGCCAGGUGAGAACUGUUUGCAAACCUAUUCGGGGCCUAGGCCAAAAGAGCCAUAUGCUCAGCCGCAUCGACCGGCACUUUGCAAAAACAAUCUGUCAGCUAACAUCUUUUUUCCCUAAGUUAGAAGUAUCUGAAAACAUAUGCGUGGAACGCUGCAGAGGUGAGUGAACCUCUAAAUUGUGUAGGAGGGCCCAGAAUCCUGAGGUUUGGGAGUGGAGAACCCCUGUAAUGAGUCCUGAGACCUCAGGACUUGGCAAACCUCCCCUCAUGAGAGCUUCACAGCUACCCCUGUGAGCUAGAGUUUCUCAUCUCAAUGGUGAGUGAAGGGAGUUUGCACUUAUGACACUGGUCCUGGUGCCCAAGACUGAAUGCAAAGCUGCAUGAAGUUUGUCUGAGUUGACCUCAGCCUCUCCCUCUCAGGCUGCUUAUGGGGGGAGAGCAAAAUCAGGCACCUCCACAUCGGCAAGCACUUACAUAGCCUAACAGCCCCCUCCCCCCAGAGGUUUCAGCCUCCCCUUCUGUCAUCAGAGAGGGUUGUGCUAUAAGGUGCUUGACUGUCUACCCCAUGUCGUCCUUUCUCUGGACCCCAGAGCCUGGCUUAUAUCCCAGUCCUGUUAUCUGUGUAUGGACAGUCUUCUAAUGUGUCCUGACACGAGAACAACAUGAGAAAGGAUGGGUAUAAGGAACAAGCAAUAACAAGGGGCUCUUUCUGAUGGACUUUGGCUAUUUGCUUUCUAGGGAGAUGGGAUCAACCAUAAGAAAAAAAAACUAAGGUGAGCACUUGUGGCACUUCCUAUUAGGGAAGUGUAGGGGAGUGGAUACCAGAGAUGCCCCUGGGAAGAAUAUUUCUUGGCUGCAUCCCCUCCAUCAUACAUUUACUGGAAUAGUUUGAUAAUGAAAAAGUGUAAGACCCAUCCAUCUGGUAAGUGAAGUCAGGGGAGUGGCAUCAGGGAUAACUUCCUGCAGGAGGAGGGGCUAUUUAUACUCACCUCUGAGAACAGGUUGAGACUGGAUGAAUUUUCAGGGAAGGAAGGCUGCCACAUGUGCAAAGACCUAGGACUGGUCCCCUAUCCCACUGCUCAACCCACCCAGGCUCUGUGUGCAUCCUGUUCUUCUCUUGGCCUAGGAAUACAAAGCAAUGAAAGAGAUCAUGCUCCUCCAGGUGGCUGCAGAUAACUACACUCUAGAACCGAAGGAGGAGUUUAGAGCCUGGUUCCAGGCUGUGGAGCGACUCAGUGAGGAUGAGAGCUACAUCCUGUCCUGCCAGCUGGAGCCCCAAUCCUAGCUGACCAGUGAAACUCAAGAACAAGAAGAAUUGGCCACAAUCAAGCUCAGGACUGAGUGAUUGUCCAGUGACAGUGCAACCUUUCUUCAGCAGCUUGGACACUUGCUGUGAUGAACCCCAUCUCCUUGACACUUCUUCCUCCCAUCCAUUUACCUACUUGGAGUGGCAAUAUUUAUCUUAUAGUAAAGCUAGAUUUGAAUAUUA
Long non-coding RNA from Felis catus (domestic cat), 6624 nucleotides. RefSeq lists it as uncharacterized. The transcript has 2 exons. Lineage: Eukaryota; Metazoa; Chordata; Mammalia; Carnivora; Felidae. The record is from RefSeq and is a predicted model, not a curated record.